RNAcentral lists this non-coding RNA (159 nucleotides) under uncultured Sporofaciens sp. RNAcentral describes it as "Lysine riboswitch". It matches the Rfam family "Lysine riboswitch aptamer". Rfam says of the family: Riboswitches are metabolite binding domains within certain messenger RNAs that serve as precision sensors for their corresponding targets. Allosteric rearrangement of mRNA structure is mediated by ligand binding, and this results in modulation of gene expression. This family includes riboswitches that sense lysine in a number of genes involved in lysine metabolism, including lysC. Lineage: Bacteria; Bacillati; Bacillota; Clostridia; Lachnospirales; Lachnospiraceae. The record is from RNAcentral.
UGAUAGAGGCGCAGAUUUCAUAAGUACUUUGUGGCAAUAGUCUGGGAGGACUGCCGAUUAGAAAAGGGGGAUCUGCCGAAGAAAUUCUAUUCUCCCAAUAGGAUUUCUGGGCUGCAGUCAGAACAUGCUGCAGACUGUCACAACAGUGGAGCGCUAUCA